RNAcentral lists this ribosomal RNA (465 nucleotides) under uncultured bacterium. RNAcentral's name for it is "partial 16S ribosomal RNA". It matches the Rfam family "Bacterial small subunit ribosomal RNA", at positions 28 to 507 of the family's 1533-position model. The record is from RNAcentral.
GACGAACGCUGGCGGCGUGCUUAACACAUGCAAGUCGAACGGAAAGGCCCUGCUUGUAGGGUACUCGAGUGGCGAACGGGUGAGUAACACGUGGGUGAUCUGCCCUGCCCUUUGGGUUAAGCCUGGGUAACUGGGUUUAAUACCAGAUAGGAGCCAUUUUUAGUGUGAUGGUUGGAAAGUUUUUUCGGUGUAGGGUGAGCUCGCGGCCUAUCAGCUUUUUGUUGUGGGAAUGGCCUACCAAGGCGGCGGCGUGUAGCCGGCCUGUGAGGGUGGACGACCACCCUGGCACCUAGGGACGGCCCAGACUCCGACGGGUGGCCACAGUGGGGAAGAUUGCACAAUGGGCGCAAGGCUGAUGCAGCGACGCCGCGGGGGGGAAGACGGCCUUCUGGUUGAAAACACCUUUCGCUAGGGACGAAGCGUUUUGUGACGGUACCUAGAGAAGAAGCACCGGCUAACUACGUG